UUCUAGCCCCGAUAGUAGUGGAAAUCCUUUUGUGCCGGGGUUCGGCACAAAAGAUUGAAACGGAUAGCGGGAUUAGCU
Molecule: small RNA, 78 nt
Rfam family: Flavo-1 RNA